AUUGAACGCUGGCGGCAGGCUUAACACAUGCAAGUCGAGCGGGGGAAGGUAGCUUGCUACCGGACCUAGCGGCGGACGGGUGAGUAAUGCUUAGGAAUCUGCCUAUUAGUGGGGGACAACAUCUCGAAAGGGAUGCUAAUACCGCAUACGUCCUACGGGAGAAAGCAGGGGAUCUUCGGACCUUGCGCUAAUAGAUGAGCCUAAGUCGGAUUAGCUAGUUGGUGGGGUAAAGGCCUACCAAGGCGACGAUCAGUAGCGGGUCUGAGAGGAUGGUCCGCAACACUGGGACUGGGCCACGGCCCGGACGCCUACGGGAGGCAGCAGUGGGGAAUAUUGGACAAUGGGGGGAACCCUGAUCCAGCAAUGCCGCGUGUGUGAAGAAGGCCUUAUGGUUGUAAAGCACUUUAAGCGAGGAGGAGGCUACUUUAGUUAAUACCUAGAGAUAGUGGACAUUACUCGCAGAAUAAGCACCGGCUAACUCUGUGCCAGCCGCCGCCGUAA
Molecule: ribosomal RNA, 501 nt
Filed under: uncultured bacterium
Lineage: Bacteria
Description: partial 16S ribosomal RNA
Rfam family: Bacterial small subunit ribosomal RNA
Source: RNAcentral